UACAGAGGGUGCAAGCGUUGUUCGGAAUUAUUGGGCGUAAAGGGAGUGUAGGCGGCACACAAAGUCUUCUGUGAAAUCUACGGGCUUACCCCGUAACGUGCAGAGGAUACUGGUGAGCUAGAGUGUCGGAGAGGAUAGUGGAAUUCCAGGUGUAGAGGUGAAAUUCGUAGAGAUCUGGAGGAACACCAGUGGCGAAGGCGACUAUCUGGCUGACAACUGACGCUGAGACUCGAAAAGCAUGGGGAGCAAACAGG
RNAcentral lists this ribosomal RNA (254 nucleotides) under uncultured bacterium. Its description in RNAcentral is "partial 16S ribosomal RNA". It matches the Rfam family "Bacterial small subunit ribosomal RNA", at positions 524 to 776 of the family's 1533-position model. The record is from RNAcentral.